Molecule: ribosomal RNA, 459 nt
Filed under: uncultured bacterium
Lineage: Bacteria
Description: partial 16S ribosomal RNA
Rfam family: Bacterial small subunit ribosomal RNA
Source: RNAcentral
CCUACGGGAGACAGCAGUGAGGAAUAUUGGUCAAUGGCCGCAGGGCUGAACCAGCCAAGUCGCGUGAGGGAUGACGGUCCUAUGGAUUGUAAACCUCUUUUGUCAGGGAGCAAAGGGCGCCACGUGUGGCGCUUUGCGAGUACCUGACGAAAAAGCAUCGGCUAACUCCGUGCCAGCAGCCGCGGUAAUACGGAGGAUGCGAGCGUUAUCCGGAUUUAUUGGGUUUAAGGGGUGCGCAGGCGGAAUGUCAAGUCAGCGGUAAAAUUUCGGGGCUCAACCCCGUCGUGCCGUUGAAACUGGCGUUCUUGAGUGAGCGAGAGGUAUGCGGAAUGCGUGGUGUAGCGGUGAAAUGCAUAGAUAUCACGCAGAACUCCGAUUGCGAAGGCAGCAUACCGGCGCUCAACUGACGCUCAUGCACGAAAGCGUGGGUAUCGAACAGGAUUAGAUACCCUAGUAGUC